ACGAGCCCACGGUUCUGGCUGAGAGGGGAGAUGGGUCUCAAAUUUGGGGCUGGAAAUCCUCCUCGGAAAAGAUCUGGGAACAGAAAGUACUGAGCCUUUUCAAGCUUUCCAAACUCAAUGCAUGGAUCCAAAGUUAGUGGCAGCUUCUCUGGCCUUGCCCUCACCCCAAAAUAGAAAACCACUUCCCUUCCCCAUGAGGGGACGCGAAUGAACUCGCUCCCGCGCCGCUGGGGCUGCGGUCCCUCCCACUCCCCCCCAACGCCCAAAGCCCAAGGGCUUCCUCGGGCCCUGCCUGUUGGCCCGCCCCAUCUGCGGCCAGGGGACGGGCGCGGGGUCAGCCGGCCGGCACCCAGCCUCCCCACGCCGUGUCCUUCCAGCCUGGGCCCCGACAUUACUGGCGCUGCGGCAACCUCGGCUAAGACUGCGGGCGCUGGUCAGCGGCCGGAGCGCCGGGAGCUACACGUCCCCCCCGCGGGGUGGGAUCGAGGGACGAACCUGGCCUGGAGGGCCCUGCGGCCUCCGUUCUCGGUCUUGCCUGGCGCGCGCCGUUAAACACAGAGCGGAGCAAAGACGGAAGGAAAUGGUAGCUGAGCACUGGGCGAGGGCAGAGGAUUGCUUGGGCUGCUAUUCUGGAAUGAGACAGAAGAGGAUCAAGGCCCAAUGCAGGAAGACCCUCUAGGAGGCUACUCUGUGAUCCAGGGCACCUAGAACAAAACUGAACUUUUCUGACGUUAGGCUGUCUCCUCACAACUUGAUGGUGCCCUCAGGCUCUAGUGAGGAAUAUCUGCACACUUGGUUUGUUCUGAUACAGACGUAUCCAACCUCUUCAUUCCAAACUACUGUCUCAAAAAGAGAAUGUGGCAAGUGUGUGUAACUGAGUAGCACAUAGAAGGAAGAAGAAGGCAACCAUGGCUGAAAGUGACCCCACUCAAUCUCAUUCAUGCUACUGAAAUUCCCAAAAGAAUCACCACUGUGAUGGAGCCUAUUAUCCGGAUGUCAUUGGUUGGAUCCACCAUCAUCGAAUCACUCUCCUGGAACAAAAAAAAAAAUCACUAAAAUGGGAUCCUGUAGUGAGCGUCGCCUCUACAUCACUGUGCAGUUUCAAGACUGUGUGCCAGUAAAGAUUUGAUAUACGUUGCCUGAGAAUUGUUGGAUGUCCAAUAGUAUUGUACGGAAGGUAAGAAGCCUCCAUACUGACGACUAGAAAGGAAGUGAGCAGACUGGGAGUAUGAUCAAUGAUGUAUUGGAAAUAUUUCUACUUAAUGGGAAAACUCUUUCAAGCAGAAAUCAAACUAUGGAAACUAUUCAAGUGACUUCCAGUUGCCCGAGCAGCAGAGUUGUGGUGUAACACAGAGAUGAGGAACAAGUCUCUGGGGUCGGCAUGCUUGAUUCACAUCCUGGCCCUGCCACUUCCUAUCUGUGUGAACACUGGUAGUCAUAAAUGCUACAAAAGAAAGCAAGCAAGUUAAGAGGAAAGAGAAUGAUAAUGAAUAAAGGGCACUUCUUUAAUUGAAGAAAUCAGCAAAGGCUUUCCUAGGGAGAUGACAUUUGACCUGAAGUCUGAAUGAUGUCAAGAAGGGAGCUGUGAAAAUAUCUGGAGGAAGAGCAUUGAAGUUUGAGGAAACAGUCAUUGCAAAGGCUUUGAGAAGCACUGGAAACCUGGUCUGAAAAUUCUCAAAAUGUCUCACUAGAGAAACCUGGACUGUCAUUAUCAUUCUGCCUUGUUUGUCUCCAGUUCUCUUUGGACAUAUUAAACUUAAGAAGCAUAGAAAUCACCUACCAAACAUUAUGGAAGAAACAUCAGCAAGCACCCAACAAAUCCACUUUUUUUUUUUCCUUUUGUCAGCAGCAUCAGCAGAAACAUUAGAGCUCUUUCUUCUUUAGAAUUUGAACUCAGCAGACCUACAGACUCCUUCCCCUCUCCUCCCUCCCCACCUCCUUUCCUGCUCCCUAGCUUCAGAAAUACCAGAAAAGGAGACAUGCUUUUCAUCUGGACCUGCAUUAGAAUCCUGUCAGUUAAUGCGAAGGGUAGGGGGAGAAAGUUACUCCGCAGGGAGAGACGUCUCACCUUCCAUGCUUGUUGCCAUGGAGAUGAAAUCCAGCCAGUAGAUUUAAGUGUUGGCAGGUUUGUCUGUGUUCGCUGAUCGGUUCGGUAGCAAUGUAAAAGACGUGUCCUGGGAACCUGCGUGGAGUCCCAGUACCGCGGUUAUCGCUUUACUGGCCUACGUGUGUAAAUGUCUGUAUCUGUCGGUGAGGGGCAGAAGACGUGUGCGCGCGUGAGCAUAUUUGCAGGAAAAUGUGCACGAAUUUCUUCCAUGUGGCAGUGUGUAAAUAUUUGCGCGCGCGUGUGCGUAUGUGAGGGCGUCUGCCCGUGUGUGUCUGUGAGAGAAAAGCGGUGGACAGUGAGAGGGGGUAGGGAAUCGGCCACGGCAGCAACAGGCUUCAUAUAGUCCUCAGCUCUGCAAAAAAAAAUAAGAAGGCUUAUUUUCACUCAUAUCACACUUGGAGGUUAGCAAUCGGAGUUCAUCACCAAUUUGUCUUUCUAAGGCAGUGGAGGUGUUAAUUAAUGUAUUGUUAAAAUACUUGUUUUCCUCUUCUGUCUGCGUCAGUAGCUGUGCCGCGGGCAUUUUGUUGUGCUCGGUGACUGCAGUCUCAGUCGAGGAGUAGGCAAUCAAUUCCUAUGUCUUCUCAUCCUAUAAAGGAAAGACGUGGAUGACGGGUGUAUUGGUUUAACUGGGGACCGCAUGCGUCAUUUGGAGUUAUUUUUCCCUGCCCUUCGCCUUGCCUAUGCAAACCCAACAGGAUCCCCUCCUCUUCUUAGGAGUAGGUGCCUAGGCGCUGUCCGUAGUGCUGAAAUGUUGCGUAGUAUGACCUACCUCCCACAGACGAGCUAUAAGACAGCAAGCGAGGAACGCUCCGACAAAGCCUACAGGAAGUUGUGAGACACGUUUUCUGAACGGUGUUGAACAUAUAGAAACCAAACCUAAACCGCAUUGAAAGCAAAACAAAACAAAACAAAGACAGGCAAACAAACUCAGUUGUAAGGUUCCAGUUCUGUUCAUCUUUGGAUACUAUAUCCAGAACCUACGAGUUGCAAACACUUGUAGAUUCCUUUAAAACUUAAUUAUUGACUUUAUGAAUUAUUAACUAUUCAGAGAUUGGGAAAAGUGUAGAUGUGGAAUUAGGUCAUUAUUCAUGUGAAAAAAUGCUGAAAACAAGUAAAAGUGUGUUAUAGUUCAAUAAUAAAGUGAAGACAAACUUUAUGUUCAUUUAGAGCAUUUACUAAAUUAGGAAAUUUCAUGGUCUUACAAAAAAUGCGCAAUGUAUGACUGUGAGUUCAUACAAGACUAUACUCAAAAAAAGUUAUUCUUUUUCAUUUAAAACUAUUAAACACCCUAUAAUAUAGGCCCACCAAGGAAGAGAGUGGAAGAAGUGUCUUCUUCUGGGAACAUGUUCAUUGCCAUGGUUUUAUUGACUCUUUUUUAAGCUUGCUAAGGGCCACAUCCAUUUUUGGUACUAUAUACUAGAGCAGUGCUUCUUGAAAUUGAAUGUGAAUCCCCUGGGGAUCUUGUUAACAUGCAGGUUCUCAUUCAGUAAGUGUGCGAUUGGGUCUCAGAUUCUGAAUUUCUAACAACAUCCCAGGUGAUUCCAGAGGUUGCUAGUCUCAGGACUAAACUUAAAAUAACAAGGUUCUAGAGAUACUGUGUUCUGGCCAUGCAGUCACCCACGGAGUAUGCAAAAGGCAGUCAUUAUCUUUCAUCUAUUCUCUGUAUGUUUCUAGACUGUUGCAAAAAUAUUCUAUUCAAAUAAGUUCAGAGAUUAAGCAUUUUAUUUGCACAAUAUUAACAAACUGUUUAUGAAUUUAUCAUUUGAUUGAUUUUGACAUUGUCUAGACACAUGCUACAGUCUGCUCCACUCUAUAUUUCCAUACUAUGAUCUGCAAUCACCCAUUCUCUUUGCAAGCCAAGCUUAAGGAAGCAGAACCAAGUUACAUGAUUCUACUACUGGUAUAUGGGCCCCACUCCAAGAAUUUGUUAUCAUGAUUGAAGACUUAAACUUGUCAUUUUAUGACUUUAAAUAUGGUUCUGUAGUAAAUGCUCAUGAUACUGAUUUUUAAAAUUUAGACAUUAUAGAUCUAAUUCUCACCCAGUUUAGAAAGUGGAAGAGGACCAUUGUUUCACAGACCUUUUGAAUGAAAUCUGAUCUGUCAUAUCAUUGGCAUAAUACAUUUAUACUUAGAUUUUGAAGAAAUCGUCCUCUGGAUGAUUUUCUGAUUUUUAAAAAAAUCCAUACCUACAUCAGUUGUACAGUGCUUUCAGUUAAUGCUUUUGAGUUGAUGCCAAAGGAAAGUUUUGACUAUAAAUUAGGUUCCUUCCUUGGUGUUAGUUGGUGCAUGACCUUGACCUUUUUCAAGCUAUAUGAACAGUGGUGAUGUUCUGAAAAGUCUGCAAAGUGGUUCAUUCAGGAAAGUGUAAUGGAUUAAACAUCAAUUAUGUUCCACUUCCUUUGUUAUAUGGUGGGAUACAAAGAUGAAUGAGGUUUGGUCUCUGCCCUUGACGAGGUAUUUUGCAAAACAACAUGGCAGAUUCUACAAAGUUCUAUAGAAGCACAGAGAUUAAUAAUGUAUGUUUUAUUCUCCAUUACCAAAGAAGUGAUGAAGAAUAGCAAAGUAGAAAAACCCAGGUGUAUUUAAAAUACAGAUGUAUUUCAGGUCAUUGCCAAUGUCUGCUGCCCAACUUUUAAUUUCAAAUUGUUGAAAGAUAUGAUAUAUAUGAACGCUUUUCUAAAGCACACAUGGUUAACCUGUACUUCUGGAUUGUCUAUGAUUUAUUUUCAGAGGAAUCCAAAUUAUUAGAAAGGUAAAUAUAUGGGUGGCAUUGUUCAGACCUCCUCCAAAUUAAUUGCCUUUACUAUGCAUUGACUUUACACUUUCAGCUUAUAUGCAAGUAUUUUAUAUAAAGCAAUCCUUAGCUUACACAGCCUGCUCUAUGUCUGCUAUGGGAUUGUUACUAAAGACUUGCCCAACACAUCCUUUACUAUUCCUAAUAUGACAUCCCUCAAAAAACAUUUUUUUCCAUACCAAUUUCAUGAAUUGAACUUUCAUACCCCUCCUCUUCACUUAAAUCAUCCCAAGGUAAGUGUUGUGUUCUCUUCUUAUAUACAAUAUAUAUCCUGUAGCUGAUCACAUGUGCCUUUUCUUUUAGUUACCAGGGAUGUCAGGGUCAAAUUAACAGCUAAAAAUUAGUAACUAUAUAAGCUCUUCAGGCCUCUAUAUGUGUGUCCUUUCUUUAUUGCCUUGAAUACUGAAAUUUUUUUUUGCUCAGGUAUUGGUAUAUUAUUUUCUUUUAAUUAUCUGUUUUA
Molecule: long non-coding RNA, 5361 nt
Organism: Globicephala melas (long-finned pilot whale)
Lineage: Eukaryota; Metazoa; Chordata; Mammalia; Artiodactyla; Delphinidae
Source: RefSeq, a predicted model, not a curated record